UUGAAGAUAAGGUCCCUGAUUGCAAUACUCACAAGGUGGUUUUUAAGAAAUAUUGGAUUGGCUGAAGGUUCUGGAGAGAGUGCAGAGUAAUAUGUAUUGUCUGGCUGAGCUUCUCUCUGCGAUCUAAAGCUACAGGGGAGGAGAAAAGGUCUAAAGAGAAAGGAAAGCCCACUCCUUAGGAUAGUAAAGAAGAGGUUCAUUUUCACUUCACAUUUUCCCUAAUUUUUCUGCGGUAAAUCAUUUUUGUGUUUGUGGGUGAAUUUGUUUUGUAGUUAUUUAAUUGAGACUGUUGCUCACAAGCCCAACAAUGAUAUUGCCUUGGCUCUCUUUCAUGGUGAUCUGGAACAAGGCCUCAAGUAUUUUCUAAAGGAAUUUUUUAGAAAUUCUGCCGUGGUGCCAAGGAGGAAGAAAAGAUACAUGGACAAUAGCUUAAGUCUCUCAAGUUGAAUACUACACUCUCUGAUAUGUGUGUUUUGUUAUUUUCAUAUGGUUGUGCUAAUAACAUCAAAAACAUUUCAAUUUUGCUCCCUAUAAGAAGUUGAUCUCUCUAGGUUGGUUUAGUACUUUAGUUGUUUGUUUGACAAAGUAUAAUAUUUAGGCUUCCAAUCACUCUGAUGUAAACUUGAGAGCUUUGUCAGAUGUAUGUUGCGACAAAGUUAAUUUAUUGCUUUCUUUAACUUUUAGCUUUUCCUUUUGGUUAAAGUUUUUUAAUUAGCCACAGGAUGCAUAUACAAUGAAUUACUAUUGCAAACCUUUUUAACACUGAAUUGGUCUGGCAUUGUAUUAUAUUACCCUUGACGGGAAAAAUUUCACAAGGUUUAAAGUGCAUUUAGUUAUUUUUUAGUAAUUAUUUAAACAUUAGGUUUUGGGGCUUACUGAAGAGUUAUUUUGCAGGUACUUUAAGAUUUUCUCCUAUUAUUUCUGAGAACAUCUGGUAUAUGUUUUCAGAAAUAUUUCCUUUAAUGAUUUAGGCGUUACAAUUAUUUUGUCAGACACAAAGAUAUAGGUUAGUAAUCUAAAUAAAGGGGAAGGUCUACUGCUUCAUGGGUUUGUUUAUUUUGCAUUCCUUCUUCUGUUCUUCACUGGAUCACAAGAUGUCAUGGUUUUUAUAUUUUUGUUAACUUGGUGUAGUGUAAAAGUCAAUCCCCCACUUCCUGUUCUGAACUAAUUUGUGUUUUUUAUGGAUGACAGUAAGUAUCAGAUUUCAUCAAUCAUUCUGCUGAGCUUUUACAAAGAAGAACAUCCUCUGAUGCAGACAAAGCAUUAGAACAUAUUAAUGAGGCGUUGAUGAUGA
Molecule: long non-coding RNA, 1294 nt
Filed under: Lotus japonicus
Lineage: Eukaryota; Viridiplantae; Streptophyta; Magnoliopsida; Fabales; Fabaceae
Description: long non-coding RNA (LJAP_LNC001828)
Source: RNAcentral